RNAcentral lists this long non-coding RNA (1945 nucleotides) under Rattus norvegicus (Norway rat). RNAcentral's name for it is "long non-coding RNA NONRATT015724". The record is from RNAcentral. Lineage: Eukaryota; Metazoa; Chordata; Mammalia; Rodentia; Muridae.
GACAGAGCCCGCGGGAGCCGGCAGCGCUGCGGGUCAGCGGGCGCGGCGGAGCCGGCGGGCUCAGCAGCCUGGGUCGCCCGGCGUCGCGGAGCCUGGAGCUCCAGUGCGGGCAGCUGGCCGAGCCGCACGGCGGACAAAUGAAGAGAAAACAAUGUCUGCCAACCUAAAAUAUCUUUCCUUGGGAAUUUUGGUGUUUCAGACUACCAGUCUGGUUCUAACGAUGCGUUAUUCUAGGACUUUAAAAGAGGAGGGACCUCGUUAUCUGUCUUCUACAGCAGUGGUUGUGGCUGAAUUUUAUAAUGGCCUGCAUCUUUUUAGUCUACAAAGACAGUAAGUGUAGUGUGAGAACACUGAAUAGAGUACUGCAUGAUGAAAUUCUUAAUAAACCCAUGGAAACACUGAAGCUUGCUAUUCCAUCAGGGAUAUAUACUCUUCAGAACAACUUACUCUAUGUGGCACUGUCAAACCUGGAUGCAGCCACUUACCAGGUUACAUAUCAGUUGAAAAUACUUACAACAGCAUUGUUUUCUGUGUCUAUGCUGGGUAAAAAACUAGGCAUGUACCAGUGGCUCUCCCUAGUGAUUCUGAUGGCAGGAGUUGCUUUUGUACAGUGGCCUUCAGAUUCUCAAGAGCUGAAUUCUAAGGACCUUUCAACUGGCUCACAGUUUGUGGGCCUCAUGGCAGUUCUCAUAGCCUGUUUUUCAAGUGGCUUCGCCGGAGUUUAUUUUGAGAAAAUCUUAAAAGAAACAAAACAAUCAGUAUGGAUAAGAAACAUUCAACUUGGUUUCUUUGGGAGUAUAUUUGGAUUAAUGGGUGUGUACGUUUAUGAUGGAGAAUUGGUAUCAAAGAAUGGAUUUUUUCAAGGAUAUAAUCAACUGACAUGGAUAGUUGUUGUUCUACAGGCACUUGGAGGCCUUGUAAUAGCUGCUGUCAUCAAAUAUGCAGAUAACAUUUUAAAAGGAUUCGCGACCUCCUUAUCCAUAAUAUUGUCAACAAUCAUAUCUUAUUUUUGGUUGCAAGAUUUUGUGCCAACCAGUGUCUUUUUCCUUGGAGCCAUCCUUGUCAUAGCAGCUACUUUCUUGUACGGUUAUGAUCCCAAACCUGCAGGAAAUCCCACUAAAGCAUAGUCAUGUCCUAUCCCUAAUUGGAUUUCACAAUGGUGCCCUAGGAGCCUCAACAUUAAUCUUGCCCAGAGGACUUCUGCAGAUUCUAUGAAGAAAUCAUCAUGCUAAAUCUGAUCACUCUGUUGAGAUGGUUUGAAAAUGUGUAGCCUUCAGGAUGAAAUGUGUAUAUCAUCUGCAACCCAAGCUUGGAAGUGUGUCCAGGAAGUCGGGUUAGAGGGGAUACUGGGAGGAGGCCUUAAGUCUGAGCUCGUAAUGACCUCAGCCCUUUAGUUGCUGCAGAACGGUCCAUUGCAGCCUUUGCAAGAGCACACACAUGCAAAUAAAUACCAAGGUUUGCAAGGUAGAUCUGCCUACACUUAUCACCUGUUCUUAACCUUACUCUUUCUGUACAGAGAUAUCAAGUUACAUGAACUAUUUAAAAUGGAAAUUUAUAAUCAUCUAUAAAGCUGUGAACAAUUAUAAUUUAAAACCAUUUUCAUGUAUCUGGGAUUUUUAUAUUUAUACAGAAGAUUACUAAAGAAAGGAUUGGUAAAUUUUAUUUGUUUAAUUCCAUAAGACUUGAUGAAGUAGUAAUCUGGGUUUGAAUCAUUUAAAUUUAAUGUAGAAAGAGUCUAUCCCUCUAUGUGUGUCUUUUGACCAUUUACUACUUUGGCUGAAGCAGUUUGGUUCUUUCUACGCUAGAGUAGUCAGUGACUGGCUCUAAUGAGGUUUACCAUCAUUUCCCAGUUGUGCUUCUUUUCUCAUUAUUCUCAUUAUUAUCUUAAAUUGAAUCUGUGUGUGUGUUGCCAUUAAAACUUUUAAAUGAAUUUAAAGGGAUUAAA